Molecule: ribosomal RNA, 298 nt
Filed under: uncultured bacterium
Lineage: Bacteria
Description: partial 16S ribosomal RNA
Rfam family: Bacterial small subunit ribosomal RNA
Source: RNAcentral
CUAUGCGCCUUGCCAGCCCGCUCAGGUGUGCCAGCAGCCGCGGUAAUACGGAGGAUGCGAGCGUUAUCCGGAUUUAUUGGGUUUAAAGGGUGCGUAGGUGGUUAAUUAAGUCAGCGGUGAAAGUUUGUGGCUCAACCAUAAAAUUGCCGUUGAAACUGGUUGACUUGAGUAUAUUUGAGGUAGGCGGAAUGCGUGGUGUAGCGGUGAAAUGCAUAGAUAUCACGCAGAACUCCGAUUGCGAAGGCAGCUUACUAAACUAUAACUGACACUGAAGCACGAAAGCGUGGGAUCAAACAGG